RNAcentral lists this long non-coding RNA (231 nucleotides) under Elaeis guineensis (African oil palm). RNAcentral's name for it is "long non-coding RNA (EGUI_LNC059155)". Lineage: Eukaryota; Viridiplantae; Streptophyta; Magnoliopsida; Arecales; Arecaceae. The record is from RNAcentral.
CAACAGGAAUGCACCUUUACAUAUUUUUCCAUAGUAAAACUGAUUUCCUUCUAAUUUCCCAUGGCCCAUAUAUCCCUAUUUGUUGCAUAAAAUAAUGGAAUAAAAAAAAUGUGGGUGGCAAGGUUGUAGAUAAUAUCAAACAUUAUCUUUUAUGGUUUCCAAUUCAAAUCUCAUUUGAACCUUCCAUAAAAAUCAGAUAAUAUCCAUAUUUGGAUGUGAGAAAGGAGGGCG